Molecule: ribosomal RNA, 270 nt
Filed under: uncultured bacterium
Lineage: Bacteria
Description: partial 16S ribosomal RNA
Rfam family: Bacterial small subunit ribosomal RNA
Source: RNAcentral
AGCGAACGUUAGCGGCAGGCCUAACACAUGCAAGUCGCGCGAGAAUUGGACUUCGGUCCAUAGUAAAGCGGCGGACGGGUGAGUAACACGUGGAUAAUCUGCCCUUCGGCGGGGGACAACAGUCCGAAAGGAUUGCUAAUACCGCAUUCGUCCAAGAGGUCUUCGGACCUUUUGGGGAAAGAUGGCCUCUCCAUGGAAGCUAUCACCGAAGGAUGAGUCCGCGUCCCAUCAGCUAGUUGGCGGUGUAAGAGACCACCAAGGCAAAGACGG